This 491-nucleotide ribosomal RNA is filed under the name uncultured bacterium. RNAcentral describes it as "partial 16S ribosomal RNA". It matches the Rfam family "Bacterial small subunit ribosomal RNA", at positions 29 to 506 of the family's 1533-position model. The record is from RNAcentral.
AGUGAACGCUGGCGGUAGGCCUAACACAUGCAAGUCGAACGGCAGCACAGUAAGAGCUUGCUCUUACGGGUGGCGAGUGGCGGACGGGUGAGGAAUACAUCGGAAUCUACUUUUUCGUGGGGGAUAACGUAGGGGAACUUACGCUAAUACCGCAUACGACCUACGGGUGAAAGCAGGGGAUCUUCGGACCUUGCGCGAUUGAAUGAGCCGAUGUCGGAUUAGCUAGUUGGCGGGGUAAAGGCCCACCAAGGCGACGAUCCGUAGCUGGUCUGAGAGGAUGAUCAGCCACACUGGAACUGAGACACGGUCCAGACUCCUACGGGAGGCAGCAGUGGGGAAUAUUGGACAAUGGGCGCAAGCCUGGUCCAGCCAUACCGCGUGGGUGAAGAAGGCCUUCGGGUUGUAAAGCCCUUUUGUUGGGAAAGAAAAGCAGCAGGUUAAUACCCCGCUGUUCUGACGGUACCCAAAGAAUAAGCACCGGCUAACUUCGU